This 618-nucleotide ribosomal RNA is filed under the name uncultured bacterium. RNAcentral's name for it is "bacterial SSU rRNA". It matches the Rfam family "Bacterial small subunit ribosomal RNA", at positions 202 to 842 of the family's 1533-position model. The record is from RNAcentral.
CAAAGGUGAGCCAGUACAGGAUGGACCCGCGUCUGAUUAGCUAGUUGGUAAGGUAACGGCUUACCAAGGCGACGAUCAGUAGCCGACCUGAGAGGGUGAUCGGCCACAUUGGAACUGAGACACGGUCCAAACUCCUACGGGAGGCAGCAGUGGGGAAUAUUGCACAAUGGGCGAAAGCCUGAUGCAGCAACGCCGCGUGAGUGAUGAAGGCCUUCGGGUCGUAAAACUCUGUCCUCAAGGAAGAUAAUGACGGUACUUGAGGAGGAAGCCCCGGCUAACUACGUGCCAGCAGCCGCGGUAAUACGUAGGGGGCUAGCGUUAUCCGGAUUUACUGGGCGUAAAGGGUGCGUAGGCGGUCUUUCAAGUCAGGAGUGAAAGGCUACGGCUCAACCGUAGUAAGCUCUUGAAACUGGGAGACUUGAGUGCAGGAGAGGAGAGUGGAACUCCUAGUGUAGCGGUGAAAUGCGUAGAUAUUAGGAGGAACACCAGUUGCGAAGGCGGCUCUCUGGACUGUAACUGACGCUGAGGCACGAAAGCGUGGGGAGCAAACAGGAUUAGAUACCCUGGUAGUCCACGCUGUAAACGAUGAGUACUAGGUGUCGGGGGUUACCCCCUUCG